Molecule: long non-coding RNA, 2174 nt
Filed under: Homo sapiens (human)
Lineage: Eukaryota; Metazoa; Chordata; Mammalia; Primates; Hominidae
Description: HSALNT0342123
Source: RNAcentral
ACAGGGAAAGUUGCAGAAGAUUUGCUUUGACCUCAAAGUACAUUCUUUGUUUCCCUGGUGAUAAAGACCUCAGUCAUAGGACAACUGGGUAAACUGAAGUAGCCAAUUCUGCAAAGGAAGGUGGACUUUGCUUUCCAGUUCAGGAUCUUUUAUUACUGGUACUAUUAAGGCAAUCUUGGCAAAGUCUCAUUCAUAUUUAUUUAUGAACUGUGUUCUUGGCUAGAUAAGAGGGUACACUGUCACAAGGCAAGGCAGCAGCACUCCUUUUAUGACAUCAGAGAGGUCUUUGCCAAUGGCUCUGUUGCAUGCUUACGUAAUGUAAAAUAGUAGGCACAUAGUUGAAUGAAGGCUCAGGCGGAGAGGAUCACUUUUCAAAGAUUGUAAAAGAAGUUACGUGGAUAGUGUGUGUUAUGCAGCAAGGAAAGGAAUGGAAAAUCAGAAGACGUGUUUAGAUCACACAAACCAGAGGUGAAAGCUGAAUCUGAGAGGCUUCUGUUUCCAGCAAUAAGGCCAAUAAUACCCCAAGCUCCUGACUGAAACCAAACACUCUGGAGGGACACUCUCACAUGCAGGCCAGAAGGAAUUUGAAUAGAAGGAAACAGGCUAAAGAAGAGAGCUCAUGGCAAAAAUUACAAACCAUACAAGGAAGGCAUUCACCACAGUGAGAGUGAGUAAAAACAGCAGAAUUACAACCUAAAACUUGAGAUAAUAUGACGACAGUCUGAAGCAGAAUAUAACAGAAGUAUGCUUAAACUAAGUAAGACGUGAAAGAAUUGAAACCCUAAAAAGGAAUAAGAAAAUAUGAAAAAAAAGAGAAACAUGCAGGCACAUUGGAUAAAGGAGAAUAGGAAAAACAAUAGCAGAUAAAAAGUUUUAAAUUGACAAAGAACAGAUUAAGCAGCUAAAUAAUUGAUGAACUGAAAGCUCUACCUGGGGAUAUUAGACAGCGUAUUGCACUGGGAAAUUGUGACAUGGAGAAAGGGAAAUUGAUUAAGAUUUAAGAAACAUGGAAGGUAGAAUUAGAAGGUCCCUGCACCCCUAAUAGGCAGUACAAAAGAACAGAACAGAAAAAAUGGGAGAGAUAUAGUCUUGAAAAUUCUUGUAAUAAUUUUCCAGAAGUGGCAAAAUGUAUAAAUUCAUCAAAUCAAGAACCACAUCAUUUUCAAGAAGGAUAAAUAAAAAUAAAUCUACACCUAAAUACAUCACAGUGAAGCUGUGGAGCUUAAAAUCUUAAAAGCAAACACAGAAGUUACUUAACUAAGAAAGCCACAACUAUUAGACAAAAACAAAAAACUUUUCAAUAGCAAAAAUAGAGAGGAGAAAGUAGCGAAAGAAUGUAUUUAAAGGGCUAAGGAAAAGUAACUGUCAACCUAGUUUAUACUCAGCUAAAUUGUUAUUUAAGAACCUGUUUGAAACAAUGACUAAAAACUUUUUUACUCAAAGACCCUUGCUAAAGAGAACUAGUAAAUGAUGUGCUCCAUAAAAAAGGUAAUAAAAUUCAUGAAGGAGUGGGAUAAAGGAAGCAGUGAUGAGCAACCACAUUUAUAAACAUUGGUAUCUAACUAAGCAUUGCAAUGACAAUAGACAGAUUUGAAAAUAUAAAAACAGGAUGGAAUGAAAACACUAGAAAAGAAUAGAAAGUUAAAAAAAUCAAGUUUGGAGUUAAAGCAUUUUAAAAUCCUUUUAAUUGUGAGAAAAAAGGUAAAAUAUUGAUUUAGUUUAGGCAUUGUUAUAUUGACAAUUCACGUUAAAAGUUCAAAACACUACUAAAGGAAGAGAAAUAGAAUAUAUAACUUUUAAACCACAGACAGCUGAUGGAUUAAAAAACUGUCAAUUAAAUAGAAUCCUAAGAAGAAGGAAAAAAGUAUGCUAAAUAGAAAGAAUAAGAUGGUAGAAAUCAAUCCAAAUAUAUUCAUAAUCAUAAUAAAUGUAAAUGAUCUAAACUCACGAAUUAAAAGAACAUAUUCAAACGAAUUUUUAAAAUAUCAGCUCUGCUGCUUAUAAAAAUACACUCAAAAUACAACACAGAAAAAAAGUGAGAGAAAAAUUAUUCCAAGAAAACAAUAACCAAAAGAAAGCUGGUAUAGCUACAAUUCAUCUGACAAAAUGUCUUUAAGUAAAAUUUAAAAUAUAUUUAUUAGGAAAAAAGCACACAAGAUACAAAAAUUCUAAAC